GAUGAACGCUGGCGGCGUGCCUAAUACAUGCAAGUCGAGCGGUAAGGCCCUUCGGGGUACACGAGCGGCGGACGGCUGAGUAGCGCGUAGGAACGUACCCCAAAGUGAGGGAUAAGCACCAGAAAUGGUGUCUAAUACCGCAUGUGGUCUUCGGAUUAAAGCUUCGGCGCUUUGGGAGCGGCCUGCGUAUGAUUAGCUUGUUGGUAAGGUAAUGGCUUACCAAGGCGAUGAUCAUUAGCUGGUCUGAGAGGAUGAUCAGCCAGACUGGGACUGAGACACGGCCCAGACUCCUACGGGAGGCAGCAGUAGGGAAUUUUCCACAAUGGACGAAAGUCUGAUGGAGCAACGCCGCGUGCAGGAUGAAGGCCUUCGGGUUGUAAACUGCUUUUAUAGGUGACGAUUAUGACGGUAACCUAUGAAUAAGGAUCGGCUAACUCCGUGCCAGCCGCCGCCGUAAAAC
RNAcentral lists this ribosomal RNA (460 nucleotides) under uncultured bacterium. RNAcentral's name for it is "bacterial SSU rRNA". It matches the Rfam family "Bacterial small subunit ribosomal RNA", at positions 28 to 526 of the family's 1533-position model. The record is from RNAcentral.